Molecule: ribosomal RNA, 497 nt
Filed under: uncultured bacterium
Lineage: Bacteria
Description: partial 16S ribosomal RNA
Rfam family: Bacterial small subunit ribosomal RNA
Source: RNAcentral
GAUGAACGCUGGCGGCGUGCCUAAUACAUGCAAGUCGAGCGAACGGACGAGAAGCUUGCUUCUCUGAUGUUAGCGGCGGACGGGUGAGUAACACGUGGAUAACCUACCUAUAAGACUGGGAUAACUUCGGGAAACCGGAGCUAAUACCGGAUAAUAUUUUGAACCGCAUGGUUCAAAAGUGAAAGACGGUCUUGCUGUCACUUAUAGAUGGAUCCGCGCUGCAUUAGCUAGUUGGUAAGGUAACGGCUUACCAAGGCAACGAUGCAUAGCCGACCUGAGAGGGUGAUCGGCCACACGGGAACUGAGACACGGUCCAGACUCCUACGGGAGGCAGCAGUAGGGAAUCUUCCGCAAAGGGCGAAAGCCUGACGGAGCAACGCCGCGUGAGUGAUGAAGGUCUUCGGGUCGUAAAACUCUGUUAUUAGGGAAGAACAUAUGUGUAAGUAACUGUGCACAUCUUGACGGUACCUAAUCAGAAAGCCACGGCUAACUACGUG